This 492-nucleotide ribosomal RNA is filed under the name uncultured bacterium. RNAcentral describes it as "partial 16S ribosomal RNA". It matches the Rfam family "Bacterial small subunit ribosomal RNA", at positions 28 to 506 of the family's 1533-position model. The record is from RNAcentral.
GACGAACGCUGGCGGCGUGCUUAACACAUGCAAGUCGACGACGCUACUGAGUAGCAAUAUUUAGUAGUGGAGUGGCGCAAGGGUGAGUAAUGUAUACGUAACCAACCCAUCGGAGACGGAUAACAUUUCGAAAGGGAUGCUAAAACGGCAUGAAGCCACGAUUUCGCAUGAGAUUGUGGUUAAAGAACCGGUAACAGGUUGCCGAUGGCUGGGCGUAUAUCCGAUUAGCUAGUUGGUAGUGUAAUGGACUACCAAGGCGACGAUCGGUAGCUGGUCUGAGAGGAUGAUCAGCCACACUGGAACUGAGACGCGGGCCAGACUCCUACGGGAGGCAGCAGUGGGGAAUAUUGGGCAAUGCCCGCAAGGGUGACCCAGCAACGCAGCGUGGAGGAUGAAGGCCGUAAGGUUGUAAACUCUGACAAGCAGGGAAGAACGGCUAUGGUAAAAGGCCAUAGAAUGACGGUACCUGCCUGAAGCCCCGGCUAACUACGU